ACCCAUAACUUGGCAUAAAUGGUAUAUACUACCAUAGUACCUGACAGAUCUCUACUGGCAAAUGCAAUAGCUAUAUAGAUGAAUUCUGUAGCACUUUAGCUAGAUCUAAUUUGUCAUAAGAUCUAGUGAACUUCAUAUCUCAAGGAUCUGACUAUGGAUGAUUCAACGAGCCAUCAGAAACAGGUUUCCAAUUUCAUUUGGAAAAAGAACAGAAAAGCCAUUGCUUUUAAACUGAAUGUUGCAAUCUUCCCCUAUCUAAUGCAAGAGUCAUUGAUCUCUGAUAGAGCUGGAAAGAAAUACACUGACCCGAAAUGUUUUGAUUACCAGAAGAUAGAUCUUCUUGUCACAGCGGUACCCAUGUGUGGCCAUGACGACUAUCUCCUCAAGUUUAUCUGGUGUCUAAGGAGCAGUGCAGCUGACGCUGGUGAUGCUCACAAUGAGCUGGCAGAUUUGCUAGAGAGUGAGUACAAAGACAUGCUCACUCGUCAAGUGUCGCUAACAGAAGAGAUCAGCAAGAAAACAAUUUAUGAUCCACAAAUUGGUGCCAUGUUCCACAAAGAGUCUGUCAGUUCAGUCCUAACGAUCACAUCGAUCAGAGAGGGAGCAUCUUCGAUGGUUGGAAAUGGAUACUCUCAAAAAGACUAUGAUUACCAUAAACUGAGAAACACGUUUGGACGAACAAAUCUAAACAAGAGAAAAAUGAAAGAAAGGGGAAAGUGGAUUAUCAUCCAUGCAUCAGCUUUGAUCUGGCUUCUACUUGGUUCGAUCACGGUCAUCAUUGUUCUUAACAGUGUCCCUAAACAAACAAGUAGCAGUCCGUUGAGUGUUGUAUGUAGCCAACAAGAUGUUAUGCUAGCUAUCGACCUUGGCAUCGAUCCGUUCUGGCUCUCUUCAGCUACUUUUACAAUGGAGAGUACUAGAGGAAGCUCCACAUUGUAUUUAGCAAAUAUAUCACGUGAAGAUGCACCUACUAGUACUACAAUAACGCACAGGCUUAAUUUUCCACCUUUCUACUUGGCUCAGGGUUCAAACUACAGUGUCACUAACAAUUUGAGUAUUCCUGUCGAGUUCUGGUUCAUAAAAUCGGAGCCUAGAAAUUGUCCAGAUCAGUACGUGUGGAAUUGUUCUGAUCCUCAGGAUGAUAAUAAGAUAUGUGAAAAAACAAAAUCGGGAGAAGCUACUUCACUGUAUACUGUGAAUGUAUCGGACUACUAUACGUUUUGUGUGAACCCUGCGACUAAAAGAUUCACAAACACUGAGACUUUGAAUUUGGUAACAUAUGAUCUGACUGCUAUACAAGAGAGGAGUAGACAACGAAUGGAAAUGUCACGAACAGAAAAAACAGUCAAUUUGAACAUGUACAAGUGGUUUGACUUUCACAAAGAAGAACUGUCAAUUUUUUUGCACAUCAACUCAUGUGGUGGAGAUGAUGAAUUCAACGAACUACCACUGAAAAUUGAAGUUCAUCGGAGAAUGGAUAUUCUGUGCAUUCCGAUACUGAUUGCUUUGAUAUUGGCUAUCUUCCAUUUAUUGAUCACUGUAAUUGUACAUAUCCGUCAAAAGCGACUGUGUAGACGUCAAAAGAACAAUACUAUUAACUAUAUUAGAUGACUUCUAUAUUGGUGUGUGAUUUUUAUUUUAGAAGAGUAGCAGAACUGUACCAAGGGCAUCUUUAUCAAGGUCAAUAAUUGUACUAUGAAUUGUCAUAAUUAUAAUGGGUAAAGAUCAUUAACAAGACAAGUUAUUUUUUUAUUUCUACCACAUGUGUGUAACUAUAACUAGUACUUUUAGCGUUUUUCUUGUGAUCUAUCCAUCAAAACCGUGUAUCAUCAACAACUAGUUACUAUUCCACCUAUUGAAAAGCAUGUCUACGUCCAAAACUGAACAAAAAGAAGACAGUGCACCAAUAAUGGCCGCAGAAGAAGUGGUUCCUGAGAAGCACCCUCUACAAAACAAGUGGUCAUUGUGGUACUUGAAGCAAGAUAAAUCGAAAGACUGGAAAGACAAUCUGAAAAAUGUUAUAUCUUUUGACACUGUGGAGGACUUCUGGUCGGUGUUCAACCACAUAAAGCCCCCAAGCAUGAUACAGUCUGGAUGUGAUUACAUGCUCUUUAAGGAUGGAAUCAGCCGGCCUGGAAGGACGCACAGAACAUCAAGGGUGGGCGAUGGCUGCUCUAAAUAGACAAGAAGGACAGGAGAGAUGUGCUGGACUCAUUCUGGCUAGAGACAAUAAUGCUCCUGAUAGGAUAAGGAUUUGACGACAGUUCUGACGAGGUGCGAGGAGCCAUGGUGCAGAUCAGAGGCAAGGGGGACAAGAUUGCCAUCUGGGCGGGAAACAGUAAAAAACAGAUGAUGUCAUGGUUAUAGGGCACAUGUGGAGCAGCACUAAAUGAAGCAGCACUACCACCUCCUGUCGACUCAAGUCAACCAACAGCUCCUCAGCCUCCAAAAGUAUCCCCAUCCUCUAAAAGCAGCAGGGCAUUGACAGUGUUGAAGAUGAACUGGCGAUGGGUUGUCGCAUAUUCCGCUUCGUUGAUCUGGCUAGUUCUGGGAAUUAUUGUUGCCGUUGUGCUCUCUCAAGUACCUCAGACAAGAACGAGUCUCCCCCUUAUGAUAACAGGACGAAGGGACGCUCUAAUGGCCGAGGUUGACUUGGGUAUUGAUCCAUUUUGGAUAUCGUCUGCCUCCUUUCGUCUCACUACAGUAGGACAGCAACAAGUAUCGCCCUGUACUGCUGGUCUGUAUGUAUUGACCAAUCAAACUUGUCGAACGUUGCCUACGGUGACUCAAGAGUUCGAUAUGACUAAUCUCCUAGCAUCACCGUUCUAUCUACUAGAAGGCUCAACCUUCAACAUCACUUUAGGUGCACAUAACGAUUUGAUGAAAGAGUUUAUUGAUGUGUGGUAUGUUGAAUCUACGACUACCAACUGCGACCUUGUCUUUGGAGAUUGUGAGCAGCCCCCCAGGGCAACAUACACAUGUCAGCGAGGGCUACGUGGAGAGACACUACCUGUUUAUAGAGUUAACAAUUCUGAAUACUAUGCUUUCUGCUCCGAUCAAUUAUUUAGGAAUUUUUUCAUUCUGAAAUCAAUAACGUACAAUGUGUCAGCUAUUCGACAGACGUACACACUUAGGACUCCACCGACAACAAAUGAAAUGCUUUCACUGUUGAUUUCACACAAUCAUUUGAUUUCAGUGCAAUUGAUUAUUGUAUACUGCUUGAUGUUGAUAGCAAUCAAUGCCCCAGCAGUACAAGUGCCAACUAUAGACUCAAUAAUUAUCGAGUUGAAACAAAGAAUGGACAUUCCGCUCCUUUCAUUUAUCAUUGGUGGCGUUUUGUUUGCAAUUCAUUUUGUGAUAACUAUAAUAGUACACAGCUGCUUUAGAAAAUAUCAUCAAAAGAAUUCUGGAGAUCUAGAUCUAGUGAUUAACUCCGACUGAUAUUUAAC
Molecule: RNA transcript, 3449 nt
Organism: Halichondria panicea
Lineage: Eukaryota; Metazoa; Porifera; Demospongiae; Suberitida; Halichondriidae
Exons: 12
Source: RefSeq, a predicted model, not a curated record